Molecule: ribosomal RNA, 253 nt
Filed under: uncultured bacterium
Lineage: Bacteria
Description: partial 16S ribosomal RNA
Rfam family: Bacterial small subunit ribosomal RNA
Source: RNAcentral
UACGUAGGGUGCGAGCGUUAAUCGGAAUUACUGGGCGUAAAGGGUGCGCAGGCGGUUCUGCAAGUCAGGCGUGAAAGCCCCGGGCUUAACCUGGGAAUGGCGCUUGAAACUACGGGACUGGAGUAUGGCAGAGGGAGGUGGAAUUCCACGUGUAGCGGUGAAAUGCGUAGAGAUGUGGAGGAACACCGAUGGCGAAGGCAGCCUCCUGGGCCAAUACUGACGCUCAUGCACGAAAGCGUGGGGAGCAAACAGG